Molecule: long non-coding RNA, 1154 nt
Filed under: Sarcophilus harrisii (Tasmanian devil)
Lineage: Eukaryota; Metazoa; Chordata; Mammalia; Dasyuromorphia; Dasyuridae
Description: lncRNA (ENSSHAG00000029709.1)
Source: RNAcentral
CUGACUUUGAGUAGCAGGCUAAGCCCAACACAUUGGUGGAAAAUGUGAAUGGUGUUCUUAAUACUUGUGUGUUGGUCUUUCAGGUUCUCUGUCAUUUUUGUUUUCUUUGCUGCUUCUGAUCAUCACAUUAGUUCUAUUAUUUUUUCCCUGGGCCACUGAGGUUCCAAUCCCAGAGGUAGAAAUGAAGAUCCUUGACAAGUUCUUCAUUGGUCAUUAUGUUCUACUGGUUUUUCUCAAUGUUUUUUUCCUUGGAAGUCUCUUUCUGGUUCUAAUUCACUUCAGUCUUGGUAAGGACCAUUUAAAGAAAUACCAAAAACUACUAAUUGAACAGAGCUGCUGUAUGAAUUCUAUGAAUAUUGAAACUCAUUGAAGGAGCUAUGGAAUUAUUUUGGUGAGUAUAUAUUCUCCUUGAGAAAUGGUGUUAUCUUCAUAAUCACUUAAUUAUUUUGGAGUAGGACUUAAAUUAAGCAGGAUAAAAUGGAAUGAAUUAUGGGAAGAAAAUAUUUCCCAACAGCUGGCAGAGGUCAAAAACAGAUACUUUAUGAUUAUUGGUGAUAUUACAUUGCUUGAAAAUGGCACUUAGAUCUUUUUUUUAAAAAAUUUAAUAGCCUUUUAUUUACAGGUUAUAUGUAUGGGUAACUACAGCAUUGACAAUUGCCAAACCUCUUGUUCCAAUUUUUCUCCUCCUUCCCCUUACCCCCUCCCCCAGAUGGCAGGAUGACCAGUAGAUGUUAAAUAUAUUAAAAUAUAAAUUAGAUAUGCAAUAAGUAUACAUGACCAAACCGUUAUUUUGCGGUACAAAAAGAAUCGGACUCUGAAAUAUUGUACAAUUAGCCUGUGAAGGAAAUCAAAAAUGCAGGUGGGCAAAAAUAUAGGGAUUGGGAAUUCAAUGUAAUGGUUUUUAGUCAUCUCCCAGAAUUCUUUCACUGGACGUAGCUGGUUCAAUUCAUUACUGCUCCAUUGAAACUGAUUUGGUUGAUCUCUUUGCUGAGGAUGGCCAGGUCCAUCACAAUUGGUCAUCAUAUAAGUAUAUAAUGAUCUCUUGCCCCUGCUCGUUUCACUCAGCAUCAGUUCGUGUAAGUCUCUCCAGGUCUUUCUGAAAUCAUCCUGUUGGUCAUUUCUUACAGAACAAUAAUAUUCCAUAAUAUUCAUAU